AGGGCCUCAAGCUGCGCCAGACCGCCCAAACGCUCUCCCUGAACAAAAUUAAAAUACCUAACCUAGCUAGCGAAUCUCCCUGUUUUUUUCUUACCGUGUAUUUGCCGAGUAGAUACGUGUCCUUAAACGUAGCGGCGCUAAAUAGCACAGGCAUUGGUUAGAGGAAAAUGUAGCUUCAUUCUAGUCGGGCGCCAUGAGAAUCUCCUCGCUUCCUGUUCGUGUGGCCGGGUCUUAUUUAUUGUCUUUGGUCAAACCGAUCAGUAUCUGCGACACCGGCGCGCUAACUAAUUCUGGCGAUUGUUGCUUACUCGGAGUCGGACUGUUUUGUUAGCAUUUUAUGGUUAGUUAAUGUGUUAUUUCUCAUAAACGAGCAGACUAUUUCUUUAGUGCAAGGCGCAUCACGACGGUUCGCGCGGAGGAAUAUGUGCCGUUUUGCAGACGUUCACCAGAGGAGCAGACGUCGCACAAAUCUAAUUUUAGAAAAUGAAGCGAAAACUUCUGAAGCUGUCGUUGAUGUGACCCAAUGUUUGAAUUUGCAGCUUCUGUUUUGUCAAUAUAAUUUCAUUGUUUUGUGGACUAAGGCGACGGUGUCUUUAUAGUUUGGACACAAAAGUACUGUAUCCAUACACAUCCGCUUGUCCUCAUUAAAGUCGUGGACACGCUGGACUGGUCGCCAGCCAAUGUCAGAGCACAUAUUUAAACAUUGGACUGGUCGCCAGCCAUGAGCGACCAUAGACGUUUCUAGCACAUUUUUGGGGGUGCUGAAGCACCUCUAAAAUCGAUCUGAUCACCCCUAAAAUGUGGGAAAUUGCCCCAACAAUGGCCUGCUCCAAAGCAUUUGCGUUUCUUGUCCAUUUUUAGGGCUGCUGAAGCAGGGUUUUGGCUGGCCCUCAACAAGAUUUCAUAUGUGGCCCCAAAUAGUGGUAUGAAAAACUCUUAGUUUUCGGUCAAAGAAAUAACGAUUGUCAACGGGGGACCCACAUUUGUAUUUAUUCUUUCCACAGAUAUUGGACUCCACCGUCCAAUGACCAUUUUGCGGUUGUUGCUCACAUGUUGUGGGCACUCUGGCACCUCUAUUUGUUAGUGUUUUGACCGAAAAUAUUAUAUUACGUUUUUUUCUCCACUGAAAGUCCGCCUCAAACAAGCGAAAGAAGCAGUCAAAAAUAAUGAUGUGCGUGGUCUUUGUCAGCAUCAAUUGCAUUUCGGGAUAUAAUGUUUAGAUCAGGGGUAGUCAACUAACAUUUUAAAAGGUCCAGAUUGAGAACAUUUAUUGGAUCAAAGGGCAGGAUGAUCAUUUAGUGUCCAUUUAUUGUGAUAUUUAAGUAAACAAGUUGUUAUAUCUCAACAUCUGCCUGUAAUCAAUACCACUGUGAAAUCCUAAAACCUUUUGGCAUUUAUCAUUGUCAAGUAACACAGAAAUCAAGAAACAUGUAUGUAUGUACAGUUGUGCUCAUAAGUUUACAUACCCUGGCAGAAUUUGUGAAAUGUACACUAUAUUGCACAAAGUAUUCGCUCACCUGCCUUGACUCAUGUUUUUUUAGUGAUAGCCCAUUAUAAAUCCAUAUGGUUUUAAUAUGAUGUUGGUCUACCCUUUACAGCUGUAACAGCUUCAACUUGUGGAAAGGCUUUCAACAAGGUUUAGGAGUGAGUUUAUGGGAAUUUUGGCUGAACUCGCAUGUGAUUGGUCAGUACGGUUCAUCCCUACCGAAAGGUCCGUAAUGUUGCGUGACCUCUGGUUUCGAUUAUCUGAUGUUAUUGUGCUGUACAUUCGAAAAAUUAGUUGAAUUCUUACCUUUCCCACAAAUUAAAACUAAAUCAAGUGCAAGGCAGCCGGUAAGCACGUCAUACUUGGCUGUGAUUGUCACGUUAAUGUCAAUCAAACAAUCUCCACCGUGAUUGGCCAAAUGUUUUGGCGGCAUCUCAUUAGCCAAGCAAGUCAGUUUAGCUGUAAAAAUGAAGAGUACUUGUUAUGGUCAACAUGUUGAAAAUGUUGAGGAAAUGGUGACUGAUACACUGAAGCCCCCCUCAUAUAGGCAUUAAGAUGCCACUGGACAUAACAUACCUAUAUAAUUCGUAUAUGUAUAUAAUUUGUAUAUACUGUAUACCCCCCUCCUCCCAAUCGGUUGUGGCCCUAAACAACCGCAUAGACCACUUAUGCCACAUAAGCGUCCAUAAAAUGAUUCCCAGCACCCCUAAACUGCUGAUCCUAGAAUUGGCCUGCAGAGUCUUAUAGACAAACAAACUGGUCACCAGUCAAUGUCAGGGUAAAUAUCGACAAACAACGUAUUGUUCACCAGUCAAUAUCAAUGCUUCAGCUGCCGCAUCAAGUGGUUCCCUCAGUCGGGAACUUGGUCCAGCCUAGCUGCCGAAUCAUUGGCUAAGAUACGCCACUGCUCGAGUGAAGUGUGCAAGGGAGCCUCAGUCGCUGAUGCCCUUUGAAUUUACUGUACGGGACAAGCAGUCAAACUGACAACAGAGAACACUCGCAAGGAGCCACAGACCGGGAGGUUCAUCCCCGCUAGUCGGAUCACCGCCACGUUGAGUACGUGCAGGAAGAAGACCAGGAGGAGGAUCCAGAAGCAGACGUCGUAGCGCUCGUCGUGCGUCUGGAACACAAAGGUGACCUCCUCGAAGUUGGCGAUGCGCUCCGACAGGCGCUCGACUUUCACUUCGGACACGAACAGAACCACAACCAGGAAGCUGCACGCACCUGCCAGGAGGCGGAGUCCACAGAUGAUUGACAACUUCCCUACCACUGCGCUUGUGUGCCGCAGGACAUACGAAUACAGCAGAUGGCCGUCCACAAGUAAAGUCCCAUAGGGCCGUGCACCGUCUCAUAAGGACGUCCGAAGGCGUUGAAGAAGAAGAAGCCGCUCGACACGGACGAGAAGACGAUCAACGCGCCACAGAAGAAGAUGAUGGUCACAUGCAGACCUGCUGGGAUGGCGUCCAACAACUCUGAAAAGACUGACACACAAAAUUACACAAUUUAACGCACAUGACGAGGACAUUUGAAGACACUGUGAAGACAUUUAACCAGUGAGGACAAAAUUGAGGACACGUAGACACACGAGUGAGAAGAUUAGUAUUGAGGCCAAAGUAGUUUAGUGAGUGGUGAACAGAGCUGGGGAGUAUAACUAAUGUACAUGCAACAAGAUUAUGUAAUCUAAUUACGAAAUCUAUAAUUAUAAUCCAUGGGAGUUUCUAGCCCAUUUUGGGGAGUGCUGAAGCAACCCCAAAAAUUAAUCCCAGCACCCCUAAAAUUUGAUCCCAGAAUUAUUUAUUUAAACUGUAAAUUUCAAACAACCGAGAAAUGUUAAACCACAAUACGGUACUUGGUUGUAACGUAAUAUUUGAACAACAAAAAUACAGCAACCCCCCAUCACCUCAUCUGCCUCAAAAAUAGUUUCUGAUACCGAUAGUGCCCGUCUUAAACCAGGAUAUAAGGCAUCCAUCCAUCCAUUUUCUGAGCCGCUUCUCCUCACGAGGGUCGCGGGCGUGCUGGAGCCUAUCCCAGCUAUCAUCGGGCAGGAGGCGGGGUACACCCUGAACUGGUUGCCAGCCAAUCGCAAGGCACAUAUAAACAAACAACCAUUUGCACUCACAUUCACAUCUACGGGCAAUUUAGAGUUGUCAAUUAAGCUACGAUGCAUGUUUUUGGGAUGUGGUAGGAAACCAGAGUGCCCAGAGAAAACCCACGCAGGCACGGGGAGAAGAUGCAAACUCCACAUAGGCGGGGCCGGCGAUUGAACCCCAGUCCUCAGAACUGUGAGGCGGACGCUCUAACCAGUCGUCCAUAAAUCAGAUUUCUUAAUAUACUAUUAUCAUUACCAGUCUUCAUUUUGCUGCAUUUAAUCGUUGGGCACUGUUUAUGUUGUUAGGUUGGAGUUAUUUUUUAUUUUUAUUUUUUUUCUAGCUGUAGGGAAUGAUUCUGGUGGUCAGAAAGUAUGUCUGUCCUCUUUGAAUUGGAUUAAGAGAAGUUAGUUGUUGUGUCAUGUAAAUGUGAUAAUAUUAAAGCCAAGCUGCAACUGAA
This is a long non-coding RNA of Phycodurus eques (leafy seadragon), 4033 nucleotides long. RefSeq lists it as uncharacterized. Lineage: Eukaryota; Metazoa; Chordata; Actinopteri; Syngnathiformes; Syngnathidae. The transcript has 4 exons. The record is from RefSeq and is a predicted model, not a curated record.